This 158-nucleotide ribosomal RNA is filed under the name uncultured bacterium. RNAcentral's name for it is "partial 16S ribosomal RNA". It matches the Rfam family "Bacterial small subunit ribosomal RNA", at positions 371 to 525 of the family's 1533-position model. The record is from RNAcentral.
AUGGACGUAAGUCUGACGCAGCGACGCCGCGUGAGGAUGAAGGCUUUCGGGUUGUAAACUUCAGUAUACUGGGAAGAAAAAGUAAGUUCGUUGAGGGCUUACAUUGACGGUACCAGUCCAAAGCCCCGGCUAAUUACGUGCCAGCAGCCGCGGUAAUA